RNAcentral lists this transfer RNA (68 nucleotides) under Byrsotria fumigata. RNAcentral's name for it is "tRNA-Leu". It matches the Rfam family "tRNA". From Rfam's summary of the family: Transfer RNA (tRNA) molecules are approximately 80 nucleotides in length. Their secondary structure includes four short double-helical elements and three loops (D, anti-codon, and T loops). Lineage: Eukaryota; Metazoa; Arthropoda; Insecta; Blattodea; Blaberidae. The record is from RNAcentral.
ACUAUUUUGGCAGAGAAGUGCAUUAGAUUUAGGAUCUAUAAAUAUAGGUUUAUAUCCUAUAAGUAGUA